Molecule: small nuclear RNA, 164 nt
Filed under: Delphinapterus leucas (beluga whale)
Lineage: Eukaryota; Metazoa; Chordata; Mammalia; Artiodactyla; Monodontidae
Description: U1 spliceosomal RNA (ENSDLEG00000006984.1)
Rfam family: U1 spliceosomal RNA
About the family: U1 is a small nuclear RNA (snRNA) component of the spliceosome (involved in pre-mRNA splicing). Its 5' end forms complementary base pairs with the 5' splice junction, thus defining the 5' donor site of an intron.
Source: Rfam by way of RNAcentral
AUACUUACCUGGCAGGGGAGACACCAUGAUCAUGAAGGUGGUUUUCCCAGGGCGAGGCUUAUCCAUUGCACUCCGGAUGUGCUGACCCCUGCGAUUUCCCCAAAUGUGGGAAACUCGACUGCAUAAUUUGUGGUAGUGGGGGACUGCGUUCGCGCUCUCCCCUG